RNAcentral lists this ribosomal RNA (449 nucleotides) under Bacillus aerius. Its description in RNAcentral is "bacterial SSU rRNA". It matches the Rfam family "Bacterial small subunit ribosomal RNA", at positions 56 to 488 of the family's 1533-position model. The record is from RNAcentral. Lineage: Bacteria; Bacillati; Bacillota; Bacilli; Caryophanales; Bacillaceae.
UGCAAGUCGAGCGGACAGAAGGGAGCUUGCUCCCGGAUGUUAGCGGCGGACGGGUGAGUAACACGUGGGUAACCUGCCUGUAAGACUGGGAUAACUCCGGGAAACCGGAGCUAAUACCGGAUAGUUCCUUGAACCGCAUGGUUCAAGGAUGAAAGACGGUUUCGGCUGUCACUUACAGAUGGACCCGCGGCGCAUUAGCUAGUUGGUGAGGUAACGGCUCACCAAGGCGACGAUGCGUAGCCGACCUGAGAGGGUGAUCGGCCACACUGGGACUGAGACACGGCCCAGACUCCUACGGGAGGCAGCAGUAGGGAAUCUUCCGCAAUGGACGAAAGUCUGACGGAGCAACGCCGCGUGAGUGAUGAAGGUUUUCGGAUCGUAAAGCUCUGUUGUUAGGGAAGAACAAGUGCAAGAGUAACUGCUUGCACCUUGACGGUACCUAACCAGAA